Molecule: ribosomal RNA, 333 nt
Filed under: Triticum aestivum (bread wheat)
Lineage: Eukaryota; Viridiplantae; Streptophyta; Magnoliopsida; Poales; Poaceae
Description: partial small subunit ribosomal RNA
Source: RNAcentral
AUGGUGGGGGCGGCACCCGAGCAAAUAAAUCUGCCUCAGCUCCACUCUCACACCGGCGGUGUCCUUCAUGGCGGCAUCUCGAAGUUGAUGGCAUCAUGUGUUUGUCGAUCCUUCAUAUCAGCAGCGUUAGUGUUCAUGGAUGGUGUUGGCGAGGCAGCGACAGCGACCCUUUCAGGUGUGUCUCCCCUUCUGCUCUCUCCAUCUUACUGCGGCGUUGUCUCCGACGUCACGGUGGAGCGGGGAGGUUUUGGCGUCCUGGAGUACGCGCAAACAUUUGUCUACGCGGGUGAUAGCUGGAAGAAGGUGCAUCCUGGGUUGGUGAUUGGAGGCUGA